Molecule: long non-coding RNA, 203 nt
Filed under: Elaeis guineensis (African oil palm)
Lineage: Eukaryota; Viridiplantae; Streptophyta; Magnoliopsida; Arecales; Arecaceae
Description: long non-coding RNA (EGUI_LNC018331)
Source: RNAcentral
AUCCGAUCCAAGAUGGGUAUGGGGCUUGUACGGAUAUUAUUUUUUUCUAUCGGGAUAGAUAUAGGUAUUGGUCAAUCCGACCAUAUACGAUCCAUUGUCACCUCUAACUGUAUGGUACUAUUCAUCUCUCAUGGUACCUAUUGGGAUAUACCGACUGAUCCCUAUACAUCGAUCUAUCCUCGAAACGAUCCGACCGACGCCCG